CCAGCCCCUCGGAAUCCGGAACCCAUUCGCUGCACCUGGAAAAGUGUAGCAAAGCAAUUCAGGACUUUCUGAGGGUGGUGCUGGGGGGAUGCGAGUGGGGUUAGAACUGCAAACAGGGCUCCAAAAAUUCAUCCGAGUCGGUCUUGAUGCUUAAGACCUGCCCGGCUGUCUGUAGGGUUCUUCUGAGAGGCUGCCGGACAAAGGAAGCUUUAGAUAUGUGAGAGUUUUAAUAGUAGCAGUGAUCUGUUCCUAGAUUUUUCAUUAAAAAAUAAACACAUCCUGAAACUUCUUUUUUUACACCACUUCGUUUUGUUGAUUGGCAGGCGAAGUCUAGAUUUCCCCCAGUCACCCAGGUGUGUGUUUUUUUUUUAUCAAGUGACUUAUUUCCAAAAUUCAACCCUUUAACCCAGCUAGUGCCUCCCGAUUUGAGUCUGGAUCUGUUUUGAAUAAUGCCUGCUGACCUAUUUUAGUGUCCGUUAGGAGAAAGAAUUUGUAUUUCCUUCAGCUGAGAUCAAUCAGAUGCCACAUCCUAACCCAACCAGCAAAUGUAAACAGCGGUCUGAUGCUGCAGUGUUUCCUAGGGGGUGUGUGGGUGUGGGUAUGGGUGCCCUGGCAAUGACUUUAUGACCUUGGGCCUGUCACUUCCCUUAACUCAGAUCUUGGUGGACGAUUCAGUUUAAAAAUCCAAGCUUUAUUUGUUUAUUUGUUUUAAAGUUUAUUUUGAUGCUCGUAUACUGGGAUCAGAUAUGGAAAUUUGCUCAGGACACAUUGACCUGAAUGUGUUUUCUCCAUUGAAGAAAUGAAUCUGUGUCUUUUGUUGGCUUCUUGAAAAAAUAAACAUUGCUUUGGAUGAACUGAA
Myotis brandtii (Brandt's bat) is the source of this 859-nucleotide long non-coding RNA. RefSeq lists it as uncharacterized. NCBI's taxonomy places the organism in Eukaryota, Metazoa, Chordata, Mammalia, Chiroptera, Vespertilionidae. The transcript has 2 exons. The record is from RefSeq and is a predicted model, not a curated record.